AGAAACGGCUCCGGUUACUAGAGUUUUUCCUUACCAGUUCUUGCAACUCACAGUCAGUGUGACACCUCACACGUGGAAAGACACAGAACUGACCUAGAGACUGACUUUAUUCUACGGAUUGCAAUGGAGAGACCACCCCAGGUCUGAAGAGCAGACUGUGUCAGCAGGGUGGCUUUGCAUUGGACUUGAGAGAGAUUAAUAGACAGUGCUACUGUGGGAAACAUUCGGGGGAGGGGGGAGUCUAAUCAACUGAACAGGAAAUGUUUGUCUUUGUGACUAGCUGGUUUCAGGAGGGCUGACUUUGAAUCUCAGUUACGAUUCAUGAGACAGAAAACACGGAGCUGAGGGUCUGUGUCUGACCUUUAAGGACUCGGAGGAAGGUCUGUGUUUGGCCUGCUAGCAGGGUACACCCAUGGGACACCUGAGAGGCUUAUGGCAAAUAGGACAAAGAGUGGACCGCAAGCCUUACCUAAGUCCUAAAGGGAAGGCCGGUCUUUGCUGGUAAGCCACUUCGGGAACACAGAAGUCUGCAGAGAUGUCUUUUCUGUGGCUCUUUCGGGGCUCAGGUGAAGUUCAGCCUUGUCAAAUGGUAAAGAUGAGCCAGGCAUCUUUCGUGCCUGUCCAAGCAGAUAUGUGGAUAAGAAGAGAGGGUCCCUUCUUACCCUGGAAGUCAUCGACACUUGAACAACACUUUAUAGUUGGCAAUACAUGAUGCACAGUGGCCACACGGAGAGGAGACACAAAGCAGAUAUGUAAAGCCCAGCAGACAUGCGUACAGGUAGAGACGUUGCCAUUGUACCUAGGGGGUAACUGACAGUCAAACGGUACUUUGUGGUGUAAAAGAAAAUUCCCCUAGACUAAAUUAAUGACACAGAAAGCAGUUUUCUUCAUCAUCAGACUCAUUCUCCUCUCACUGAUGAGGUGUCUUGGGCACAGAGAGGUUAGGUCAGCUCCCCCACGUCAUUCAGGUCAUACUUGUUUGAAUCCCAAAGGCAAGGAACAUUCAGCCCGUCCAAACUAAGCCAUCCACCCCGAGUCCCUACACACAUCUGCACCUCCUCUAGUGUUUGCCUGACUCAGUGCAAGGCAGCCUUCUCCCCGGCUGCUUUGGCCAGAGAUCCUUACAGUCAUCUGUGCCUGCCGCCUCUGUCUCACCAUCCCCUCGGGCACCAAGCCCCGCCUUUCUGCUCCUAAGUCUAGGCAAGAUCUUGCCACUUCUCUCCAUCACCACAGUGAGAUCCCUAGUCCAGGUCACCCUCAGCUCUACCCUGCACGACCACCACCAAUCCUGAUCCUUUGCCACCCUUUUUCCAUUCCACUGCCCGAGGAACCUUUCUGAAGUCCUAAUCUAGGAACGCCACACCUGUUCAAACCUCUGUGGGGGCUGUCCGCUGCUCUAGGGAUAGUGUCCGGCCUCCUGGACUAGGCACAUCAGGAGUCGCGUGCCCCUGAGUGCCUGAUCCUCACCGGACCCCUCCUGCUCCAUUCCCCCCACUUGACAUUCCAACCACCCCAAACCCCUUUCUGUACCUCACAUGGCCAGUGUGCUCACAAUCGUUCCUGCUGACCACUCCCAGACUGCACAUCCUCACAGGUGCUGUUCCCGCCAUCCUCAUCUGCUGGUUUCCUUCUUCGGUUCGGUGUCACGUUGGGUGGUGCAAUUUCCAUUUUACCUGGGCCGCACCUGGAUGAGAAGUCAGUUAACUCCUACUUUUAUAGAAUGGGAUGUGGUGGGGAUUUCUUGUUGAAUUCCCCAAAUCAAAACAAGGUUUACUGUGGUUCACAGUGAGCUGAGCUGAAAUGCAAUCUGAUGCCUGCCUUUUUUGGGAAAAGCUUCCUUGCUAAUAAGCACAGGGGACAGAUGGCAAAGGUCUCUCUGCUUAUUGUAUUUGGGCCCACUUUUGCCUUUGAACAUGGACUUUGGAAUCAGAUCACAAUUUUGGAACUAUCAAUGGAUCCAGGGUGAUCACCUGCCUGACAGUGAGGAGGGAUAACCCAGAACAUGGGAGAUACCUGUCACUUUAUGGUGUCUGUGACCCAGUAAAUGGAACAGGCCCGAUCUGCUCUGCCCAUGGACUUUGUUUUGAUGACACGUUCACUAUUUCCCACUCGAUUUUAUAGUCGGAGUUCUCUGUUAGGACAACAGAAAGUACAGUAACUUUCCUCUCUUUGCAGUGGAGCUGAUUUUCUAGUUCUUGGGGCCCUGAGGGUGGCAGGGAUCAGCUGCCUGCUCAGGAUGGGGGGACCCUCCAAGGUCAUGUGCCAGUGCCUUCCUGCAGCUCCUCAGGUGUCUGCACAGGGUGCUGUCAACCCCUGGAGGCACCCAGACGAUCCAGUUCCUAGAAGGUCCGGGAGAGAGAGUGUGUAGGUUCUACCAGCUACACACUCAGCUGUGAGGAUCCCCUUCAUUCACUACAACUCCUCUAAGCAGAACACACCUAAGUAUGAAAUGAAGCGUGUGUCUCUGAUACGUAAGGUCAAAGAAAAAGAUGGAAAUGGCACCACCCCCCCUACCCCACAGCCACCCCAGUCAGAGGGUGGAGUAGACUCCUGGGGCCGUGGCCUGGAUCCCUCCACACUGAUGUGUCCCUAACAGGGGUGCAGUGUAAACGGCUCUUCCUCAAGCCUGGCUCUUGAGCUCAUGUGAGCAGGGCAGACACGGUUUUAUUUCCCCAAGGGCCAGAGAGGUAAGUAUCAACCCACCGCCUUCCACAGACAAGGAAAUAAGCUCAAAGAGGUUAAGUCGCUGAUGCAGUGGAGGGUGGAUCUGGGAGUCACGCCCCGGGUCUGUCAGACUCCUGAGCCAGUCUUCUUUGCCGUCACUUCACAACAAACUUGGUUUGGGUUUUUGUUGCUGAGAUGCAGAUACUGUUCCAUGAUGGGACAGUCACUGUUGUCCCAGUACCGUGUCCACCGGUGACGUCCAGGCACCCAGCAGGGCAAAGGCACCGUGAACGGCUCUCAGACCCUCUCUGUGUCGCCUUCAGGGGAGCUGCUCUGAAGCCCAGAGACCUGGAGUCCACUGGUGGGAAGGGCCUGCCUCAGAGCCAACAGGCAGGCAGGACGUUGACUUUCCCUGCAGGGAGGCACUGCACCAUGCCAGAGAGGCUUUGCCAUCACCCCCCAGGCCCGGUUACGGCCCAGUUAGGACUCGACCCGUCUCCCUCUGUUUAGCAGAUACUAGGAAUUGAGAGGCGAGCAGAGGCAGAGGAGGUGCUUUCAGUGGCUGCAUGGCCUCUCGGGAGGUGACCCAGCCGCCAUGGUGGUCUGGAGCCCAAAGACUGAGAAUGGAAAAUGGCUGCACUGGUUUUGCUGUCGGUGCCCUUCAGCCUGUGUGUCUGUAAACUGGAAGAUCACGGUGCCUCCCUCAGGAACCUCCCCACCCUUGAGAAGUGUGUCUUGACCAAACACCCACAACCCCUCCCCCUGAUACUUUGGCAGGGGUCAGUGCCCUCCUCUGUGUUCCUAGGUUUCUAGGACUUAAAUCCCGCCAUCACUCACACAACAGGUGGCUGUCAUCUGCUUGCAGGUUCCAGCCCACAUCAUCCCUACAUCCCCAAACUAGGCCCAGGAGGCUGAGAUGUAGUGUCUUGGCGGUGCUGAGACUGUUUCCUCAAUGAACAAAGGACCCUGA
This 3634-nucleotide long non-coding RNA is filed under the name Sus scrofa (pig). Its description in RNAcentral is "lncRNA (ENSSSCG00065005564.1)". The record is from RNAcentral. Lineage: Eukaryota; Metazoa; Chordata; Mammalia; Artiodactyla; Suidae.